Molecule: unclassified non-coding RNA, 207 nt
Filed under: uncultured Trametes
Lineage: Eukaryota; Fungi; Basidiomycota; Agaricomycetes; Polyporales; Polyporaceae
Also listed under: 2 other names
Description: sequence contains ITS2
Source: RNAcentral
AAUUCUCAACCUACAAGCCUUUUCGGAGGUCCUUGUACGGCUUGGACUUGGAGGAUCAUUGUCGGCAGCGAUGUCGGCUCCUCUUAAACGCAUUAGCUAGUUCUCGCGGAACGGCUCUCGGUGUGAUAAUUGUCUACGCCGUGGUCGUGCCGGGUACAUGGACAAGCUUCUAAACCGUCACUCCUUGUGAGAGACACAUAUCUUGAC